This 67-nucleotide transfer RNA is filed under the name Marmota monax (woodchuck). RNAcentral's name for it is "tRNA.Ala". The record is from RNAcentral. Lineage: Eukaryota; Metazoa; Chordata; Mammalia; Rodentia; Sciuridae.
GGUUGUGGCUCAGUGGCAGAGUGCUUGCCUAGCAUGUGUGAGGCACUGGGUUCAAUUCUCAGCACCA